GAGUCCCACCCUAACCCAAGGAUAUACUAAGUUAACACUUCGUAUGAACCCUGUGUUGUAAAACCAAUAAAUAGAGAACUGUGAACUUAAUGAACUAUAAAGUUACAGACUAGUGAGGGGCACGCAUACUAGGGAUGUUCGCUCUUUGCUUUAAAUAUGUGGCGCAUAAUCGACUAAACGGACGGGACUACACUAUCAUCUCUCAUCAUCUUCGGAGGAGACCACAAUUUCACAUAAUUGAAGUCGAACCUUACUUACAGGUAAGCUCGUUUGACUUCCUAAUAAACCGCGAUAAAUUC
Melitaea cinxia (Glanville fritillary) is the source of this 299-nucleotide long non-coding RNA. RefSeq lists it as uncharacterized. The record is from RefSeq and is a predicted model, not a curated record. The transcript has 3 exons. Lineage: Eukaryota; Metazoa; Arthropoda; Insecta; Lepidoptera; Nymphalidae.